Non-coding RNA from Sphingomonas sp. LH128, 2150 nucleotides. The record is from Rfam. Lineage: Bacteria; Pseudomonadati; Pseudomonadota; Alphaproteobacteria; Sphingomonadales; Sphingomonadaceae.
UCUCAAGCGUGAGGUAAGAGCAUCUGGUGGAUGCCUUGGCAUGUACAGGCGAUGAAGGACGUGGCACGCUGCGAUAAGCGUCGGGGAGUUGUGAGCAAACUUUGAUCCGACGAUUUCCGAAUGGGGAAACCCACCUUCACCAUUUCUCUCGACCGUUGGUUCGCCAAUGAUUGAGUGAGGUGGAUAAGGUAUCCCAAGUUGAAUACAUAGACUUGGUGAAGCGAACCCGGGGAACUGAAACAUCUAAGUACCCGGAGGAAAAGACAUCAACCGAGAUUCCGUUAGUAGUGGCGAGCGAACGCGGACCAGGCCAGUGCCUCAUCUUCAGUUAGCAGAACGACUUGGAAAGGUCGACCAUAGUGGGUGACAGUCCCGUAUGCGAAAACGAUAGAUGAGGACUCGAGUAGGGCGGGACACGUGAAAUCCUGUCUGAACAUGGGGGGACCACCCUCCAAGCCUAAAUACUCGUACAUGACCGAUAGCGAACACAGUACCGUGAGGGAAAGGUGAAAAGCACCCCGAUGAGGGGAGUGAAACAGUACCUGAAACCGGAUGCUUACAAGCAGUUGGAGCCUCUUUAGGGGGUGACAGCGUACCUCUUGCAUAAUGGGUCAGUGACUUAAUGUACCAUGCGAGCUUAAGCCGUUAGGUGUAGGCGCAGCGAAAGCGAGUCUGAAUAGGGCGACUGAGUAUGGUGUAUUAGACCCGAAACCCGGCGAUCUAGGCAUGACCAGGUUGAAGGUGCGGUAACACGCACUGGAGGACCGAACCGUUGAAUGUUGAAAAAUUCUCGGAUGAGUUGUGUUUAGGGGUGAAAGGCCAAUCAAGCCGGGAAAUAGCUGGUUCUCCGCGAAAUCUAUUGAGGUAGAGCGUCGAAUGAUUGCCGUUGGGGGUAGAGCACUGGAUGGAUGCGGGGGUCGCGAGAUCUACCAAUUCUAACCAAACUCCGAAUACCAACGAGACUAGUUCGGCAGACAGACGGCGGGUGCUAAGGUCCGUCGUCAAAAGGGAAACAGCCCUAACCUACAGCUAAGGUCCCCAAGUCAUCACUAAGUGGGAAAGCAUGUGGGAAUCCCAAAACAACCAGGAGGUUGGCUUAGAAGCAGCCAUCCUUUAAAGAAAGCGUAACAGCUCACUGGUCUAAACAAGGGUUCCUGCGGCGAAAAUGUAACGGGGCUAAAGUGAUGCACCGAAGCUUAGGGUUCAGUCUUUGACUGAGCGGUAGCGGAGCGUUCCGUAGGCGAGUGAAGCGGGAGGGUAACCGACCGUGGACGUAUCGGAAGUGCGAAUGCUGACAUGAGUAGCGACAAAGAGGGUGAGAUGCCCUCUCGCCGAAAGACCAAGGGUUCCUGCUUAAAGCUAAUCUGAGCAGGGUGAGCCGGCCCCUAAGACGAGCCCGAAGGGGGUAGUCGAUGGGAACCACGUUAAUAUUCGUGGGCCUGGUGGUGUGUGACGGAUCACUUACAUUGUACAACCUUAUUGGAUUGGUUGUGCUUUCACGUGGUUCCAGGAAAUAGCCCCACCGUAUAGACCGUACCCGAAACCGACACAGGUGGUCAGGUAGAGUAUACCAAGGCGCUUGAGAGAAGUAUCCUGAAGGAACUCGGCAAAUUGCCUCCGUACCUUCGGAAGAAGGAGGCCCCAUAUAUGCGCAAGCACUUGUGGGGGGCACAGGCCAGGGGGUAGCGACUGUUUAGCAAAAACACAGGACUCUGCUAAGUCGGCUUCAAGACGACGUAUAGGGUCUGACGCCUGCCCGGUGCCGGAAGGUUAAGAGGAGGAGUGCAAGCUCCGAAUUGAAGCCCCGGUAAACGGCGGCCGUAACUAUAACGGUCCUAAGGUAGCGAAAUUCCUUGUCGGGUAAGUUCCGACCUGCACGAAUGGCGUAACGACUUCCCCACUGUCUCCAGGAUAUGCUCAGCGAAAUUGAAUUCUCCGUGAAGAUGCGGAGUACCCGCGGUUAGACGGAAAGACCCCGUGCACCUUUACUGCAGCUUCAGAGUGGCAUUAGGAUAGAAUUGUGUAGCAUAGGUGGGAGGCUUUGAAGCACCGGCGCCAGCUGGUGUGGAGCCAUAGGUGAAAUACCACCCUGUUAUGUUCUGAUGUCUAACCCAGGACCGUUAUCCGGUUCGGGGACCCUCUGUGGCGGG